UGAUGUAGAGCCUGAAGAGCUUGUUCCUCACGAGGAACUGCAGACAACAAACCCAGCUCAAGCCCUUCUCCUCAAGACAAGGCAGAGCCUGAUGCUAUGCAGCAGGGAGAGCCAUCAGGAAUCUCAGAAGAGCCCAGUAAUGAGCCAGCUGCACAAAAGAGACCGAGACAGAGGCUACAGUGCUUGCAUUGCUGCUAGGUGACAAUGUCUUAAGUCAGAGAACAACGUUCUAGAUCCAGUUUUUCUACAUUCUGCCAAUGAAGGAACUACACCACAACCACGGAGCAUCCCCCCCCCCCUUGGCAACUGAUGGCUGACUCAGAUAACCCUCAACAUUAAUUUUAUUUAUGUGAUUUUUUUUGGCCUUCAUACCAAUUUAGUAAAAUACAUUUUUUAUCCUAAUGAGGUUUAAUGUCAGACCUCUUGUAUCCCCUUGGUUUAUUUCAUUCCCUUCCAAAAUGGGAGAAUCUUUCCCUGUUUAGAUGAUUUCUCUGUCCUGAUAUCUUUGCAUUUCUAACACUUGUAGACUUCUGUGUUGUUCAGACCAAUAUUAAAGGAUUCAACCAGCA
Long non-coding RNA from Sphaerodactylus townsendi, 569 nucleotides. RefSeq lists it as uncharacterized. Lineage: Eukaryota; Metazoa; Chordata; Lepidosauria; Squamata; Sphaerodactylidae. The record is from RefSeq and is a predicted model, not a curated record. The transcript is spliced from 2 exons.